AGUGAACGCUGGCGGUAGGCCUAACACAUGCAAGUCGAACGGCAGCACAGGAGAGCUUGCUCUCUGGGUGGCGAGUGGCGGACGGGUGAGGAAUACAUCGGAAUCUACUCUGUCGUGGGGGAUAACGUAGGGAGACUUACGCUAAUACCGCAUACGACCUACGGGUGAAAGCAGGGGACCUUCGGGCCUUGCGCGAUUGAAUGAGCCGAUGUCGGAUUAGCUAGUUGGCGGGGUAAAGGCCCACCAAGGCGACGAUCCGUAGCUGGUCUGAGAGGAUGAUCAGCCACACUGGAACUGAGACACGGUCCAGACCCCUACGGGAGGCAGCAGUGGGGAAUAUUGGACAAUGGGCGCAAGCCUGAUCCAGCCAUACCGCGUGGGUGAGGAAGGCCUUCGGGUUGUAAAGCCCUUUUGUUGGGAAAGAAAUCCAGCUGGCUAAUACCCGGUUGGGAUGACGGUACCCAAAGAAUAAGCACCGGCUAACUUCGUGCCAGCAGCCGCGGUAA
RNAcentral lists this ribosomal RNA (506 nucleotides) under uncultured bacterium. RNAcentral describes it as "partial 16S ribosomal RNA". It matches the Rfam family "Bacterial small subunit ribosomal RNA", at positions 29 to 523 of the family's 1533-position model. The record is from RNAcentral.